GGACCCGCACAAGCGGUGGAGUAUGUGGUUUAAUUCGAUGCAACACGAAGAACCUUACCAGGGUUUGAAAUCAUUUCAAAACUCCUUGAAAGAGGAGCCUCCUUCGGGAUGAAAUGACAGGUGGUGCAUGGCUGUCGUCAGCUCGUGUUGUGAAAUGUCGAGUUAAGUCUCGUAACGAGCGCAACCCAUGUCUCUUGUUGCUCACUGAGUGCUUAAGAGAGACUGCCGACCAACAUCGGAGGAAGGUGUGGAUGAUGUCAAGUCAGCAUGCCCCUUACAUCCUGGGCUACACACGUACUACAAUGGUAAGGACAAUGAGCUGCGAUCCUGCGAAGGCUAGCCAAUCUCAAAAACCUUAUCUCAGUUCGGAUUGCACUCUGCAACUCGAGUGCAUGAAGGUGGAAUCGCUAG
RNAcentral lists this ribosomal RNA (411 nucleotides) under uncultured bacterium. RNAcentral's name for it is "bacterial SSU rRNA". It matches the Rfam family "Bacterial small subunit ribosomal RNA", at positions 917 to 1338 of the family's 1533-position model. The record is from RNAcentral.